GGUUUCACACUGACGGGACCGAGGAUCGCUCGUUGUGUAACCAGCGUCCCGCGUUGAAGACGGCCUGCUGAGGGCGCCGUCUCGUGCAAACGACAGCUGCGCAUCGGUUUGUGUCCCGGUCCACUGACGCGCGAGUCCUGUGCCAUUGACAUGAAAAUUUCACCAGAUGUUGGGAACAACCCAAGUAAUACAUACAUACAACGGAAGUAGAACAAAUAAGAUGAUGAUCUCGUAGAGCGGCGCCAGCUGCUGGAACAGGAGCAGAAUUCAUGGUUCCAAUCAAUCACAGCAAGUUGUCCAGGUCCUGAAGGAGAAGCAGCCCAAGUACAUCACACUACCACUUUUUUUCUUUUUCCCUUUGUUUUUAAAUGCUUUUAAUCAUGUAAAGCACAUUGAGUUACAUUGUGUAUGAAAUGCGCCAUAUAAGUACAUUUGUUUUGCUUUGCUUACCACCACCAUGUUUGACUGUUAGUGGUGGUUACGCAAGAUGUAACGAGACACACACGCACAUUCCAAAAACCUCAACUUUCAUCCCGCCAGUCCAUAUAAUAUUCUCCCAAAAAUCUUGGGAAUCAUUCAGAUGUUUUUUUUGCAAAAGUAAGACAAGCCUUUAUGUUCUUUUUGGUCAGCAGUGCUUUUUGCCAACUCUGCCAUGGAAACACUGCAAAAAUAUAAGAAUUUGAGAAGGUGGCCAAUACCUUUUUCACGGAAAUGUAUUUGAUCCAUACACCCUGGUGGAAUACAAUUUAAAAAAUAUUUAAGUGAACAUUAACCCUUUAUUGCUCAGUGACUGUUUUUUGUCAAUGUCUUCGUGUCUCCAAUGUGUUCUUUGUCAAUUGACUGUCUGUUGUCGUGCUAGAGCGGCUUCAACUACCGGAGACAAAGUCCUUGUGUGUUUUUUGGACAUACUUGGCAAAUAAAGAUGAUUCUGAUUCGGA
Molecule: long non-coding RNA, 938 nt
Organism: Phyllopteryx taeniolatus (common seadragon)
Lineage: Eukaryota; Metazoa; Chordata; Actinopteri; Syngnathiformes; Syngnathidae
Exons: 4
Source: RefSeq, a predicted model, not a curated record